RNAcentral lists this long non-coding RNA (333 nucleotides) under Lathyrus oleraceus (garden pea). RNAcentral describes it as "Pisum sativum (pea) long non-coding RNA (PSAT_LNC014473)". The record is from RNAcentral. Lineage: Eukaryota; Viridiplantae; Streptophyta; Magnoliopsida; Fabales; Fabaceae.
GAAAGAAAACAAGAUAUAUGUUGUUGCUGGACUGGUGCGGACAAGAAGAGGAAAUUGUUUAACUUUUUAUUUUUAUUUUUCUUUCCUUACUAUUAGCCUCUUACCGUCAUUGUCCCCUUUUUCUUUUCAUUUUUCUUAAAUUAUUAUUUUUUCUUUUCUUUUUAUAUUUAUUUUUAUUAUUGAUUAAUACUGUUAUUGAUUAAUAUUAUUAUUGAUUGAGUAUUAUCUAUUUAUUAUUAUCAUUACUAUUAGUAUAUAUUAUUAUAUAUAUUAUCAUUACUAUUAUUACUAAUAUUAUUAUUAUUAUUAUUAUUAUUCAUUAGUAUAUUAUUA